AUUUUGAUAUCGAUUUUGAUACAUAUAAGGUGUCCUACGGAUAAUGCAAAUCGAAGCUAUUUGAUGUCUGACUCGGGCCUAUAUGACCGAUCGAUCGAAAUACUCCAAGACUCCACCUGA
Molecule: ribosomal RNA, 120 nt
Filed under: Triticum aestivum (bread wheat)
Lineage: Eukaryota; Viridiplantae; Streptophyta; Magnoliopsida; Poales; Poaceae
Description: partial small subunit ribosomal RNA
Source: RNAcentral